CCAGCUCCAAUAGCGUAUAUUAAAGUUGUUGCGGUUAAAAAGCUCGUAGUUGGAUUUCUGCAUAGGAUGACUGGUCCGCCCUCUGGGUGAGUAUCUGGGUCGGCCUGUGCAUCUUCGUGGAGAACGCAGCUGCACUUGAUUGUGUGGUGCGGUAUCUGCGACCUUUACUUUGAGGAAAUUAGAGUGUUUCAAGCAGGUAUUCGCCUGAAUACAUUAGCAUGGAAUAAUAAGAUGAGACCUUGGUUUUAUUUUGUUGGUUUCUAGAAUUGAGGUAAUGAUCAAUAGGGAUAGUUGGGGGCAUUCGUAUUUAAUUGUCAGAGGUGAAAUUCUUGGAUUUAUUAAAGACGGACCACUGCGAAAGCAUUUGCCAAGGAUGUUUUCAUUGAUCAAGAACGAAAGUUAGGGGAUCGAAGACGAUCAGAUACCGUCCUAGUCUUAACCAUAAACUAUGCCGACUAGAGAUUGGAGGUUGUUAUCAUGAUGACUCCUUCAGCACCUUUUGAGAAAUCAAAGUCUUUGGGUUCCGGGGGGAGUAUGGUCGCAAGGCUGAAACUUAAAGGAAUUGACGGAAGGGCACCACCAGGAGUGGAGCCUGCGGCUUAAUUCGACUCAAC
Molecule: ribosomal RNA, 614 nt
Filed under: uncultured alga
Lineage: Eukaryota
Description: SSU rRNA
Rfam family: Eukaryotic small subunit ribosomal RNA
Source: RNAcentral